RNAcentral lists this ribosomal RNA (120 nucleotides) under Erinaceus europaeus (western European hedgehog). The record is from RNAcentral. Lineage: Eukaryota; Metazoa; Chordata; Mammalia; Eulipotyphla; Erinaceidae.
GCCUAUGGCCAUACUAUCCUACAUAUGACCCAAUCUCCUUCUGAUCUGUGAAGAUAAGCAGGGUCAAGCCUGGUUUAGUACUUAGAUGGAAGAAAGAGAAUCACUAAGUAAAUAGAGCUA